AUGGAGGCGAGGGACUGCCCGGCCUUCCCCCCGGGCCGCCGGGCCGAGCCCCCCCCGGGGCCACCGCGGACCCCCGGCCCCUUCGUGGCCGGGCUGCCGGGACCCCCCCGGCACCCGCCGCCGCUCAGCCCCCACUGCCCGCCGGACAAGGCAGAGCCCCGGUACCUGGGGGCCGCCGGCCCGGGCCCCCUCGCCGCGGCCGUCAGUGGGAAGCCCUUCUACCCGGCCGGGGCUGCAGGUACCGGGGCUUGCGGGGCGGAGGUGGGAGCCGGGGCCGUUCCUCCCCCACCCCUUUCCUUUCCUCCUUUCUGCCCCCGCACGGAGCCCGAUCCUGCCGUCGGCCCCGGGGAUGCGCCGGGCGGGCUGCCCUCGGUGCCUCCGGGCCCCCUCCCCGCCGACACGCUCCCGCUGUCGCGACACGGCCCCGUUAGAGCACAGACCGCCACGGCCCGGGCGGCCUCGACCCCGGCACGCCCGAGGGGAGCGGGGAUCCCGGGCAGGGCGGCGGGGCCGGGAGCGGCGCGAGCUCAAGCUACGGGGGUGGAAAAGCGGCCCCGUCCCUCGGGGGGAUGCGUCCGGCCGCCGCCCGGGCCCGGCCUCACCGGCAGCCGACGGCAGCUCCCGGGCCGGGAGCGGCGGGGUCCCGGCGGGUCCGGGGGUCCCGGCGGGCCCGGGGGUCCCGGCUCGGGGCCGCCGCCAGGCUCAGGCAGGACGCGGCGCUUCCCCCGGGCGCUCCUCGUCGUUCCCCGGUCUCCACCGGCCGGGCAGCGCCCCGGGCCCGCUCCUCUCCUCGCUCUUUCCCUCCCGGACGAGGCCGUCGGAGACCGCCGAGGGCUCCGGUUCAUCCCGUCCCGCGGGCCUUUUAUGUCCCCGUUCGCUUUAAUAGACCCCCCCCCCAAAAAAGAGGCAGCACCGCAGUGUAAUGGGAACCAGGUGGGGCUCGGCACAACAGGUAGAGAAAGCCUCGGGGCACCGGGGACCCCCCCGCCACCCCCCGGGCCGGGCCGUACCGGGGCCGCGCUUACCUGCUCCGGGUGCCGGCGGCCGCGCUCUCUCCCCCGGUUCCCGGGAGCCCUUCCCGUGCCCCGUCCCUUCGCUAAUGAUCCCUCUGAGCGCUCCUUUCCCCUCCCGGUUCACCCAAUAACCGUGCAGCUGCUCCCCAGCUGCCGCUUCCCCAGCGCCGCAGAAUUGGUCAGGGGGUGUCGGUUUGGGGGUCUCUGUACCUUCCCUUUUUCCCAUCCUCUUUGUCCCCCUGCGACUCUGUUUAUUUAG
This 1272-nucleotide long non-coding RNA is filed under the name Anser cygnoides (Swan goose). RNAcentral's name for it is "lncRNA (ENSACDG00005009323.1)". Lineage: Eukaryota; Metazoa; Chordata; Aves; Anseriformes; Anatidae. The record is from RNAcentral.